RNAcentral lists this transfer RNA (77 nucleotides) under uncultured Desulfobacterium sp. RNAcentral's name for it is "tRNA-Arg". It matches the Rfam family "tRNA". Rfam says of the family: Transfer RNA (tRNA) molecules are approximately 80 nucleotides in length. Their secondary structure includes four short double-helical elements and three loops (D, anti-codon, and T loops). Lineage: Bacteria; Pseudomonadati; Thermodesulfobacteriota; Desulfobacteria; Desulfobacterales; Desulfobacteriaceae. The record is from RNAcentral.
GGGCGAUUAGCUCAGUUGGAUAGAGCGUUGGUCUCCGGAACCAGAGGUCGUGGGUUCAAAUCCCGCAUCGCCCACCA